This 599-nucleotide ribosomal RNA is filed under the name Prevotella melaninogenica. RNAcentral describes it as "bacterial SSU rRNA". It matches the Rfam family "Bacterial small subunit ribosomal RNA", at positions 371 to 971 of the family's 1533-position model. Lineage: Bacteria; Pseudomonadati; Bacteroidota; Bacteroidia; Bacteroidales; Prevotellaceae. The record is from RNAcentral.
AUGGACGGAAGUUAGAACCGCCAAGUAUCGUGCAGGAUGACGGCCCUAUGGGUUGUAAACUGCUUUUGUAUGGGGAUAAAGUUAGGGACGUGUCCCUAUUUGCAGGUACCAUACGAAUAAGGACCGGCUAAUUCCGUGCCAGCAGCCGCGGUAAUACGGAAGGUCCAGGCGUUAUCCGGAUUUAUUGGGUUUAAAGGGAGCGUAGGCUGGAUAUUAAGUGUGUUGUGAAAUGUAGACGCUCAACGUCUGACUUGCAGCGCAUACUGGUUUCCUUGAGUACGCACAACGUUGGCGGAAUUCGUCGUGUAGCGGUGAAAUGCUUAGAUAUGACGAAGAACUCCGAUUGCGAAGGCAGCUGACGGGAGCGCAACUGACGCUUAAGCUCGAAGGUGCGGGUAUCAAACAGGAUUAGAUACCCUGGUAGUCCGCACAGUAAACGAUGGAUGCCCGCUGUUGGUACCUGGUAUCAGCGGCUAAGCGAAAGCAUUAAGCAUCCCACCUGGGGAGUACGCCGGCAACGGUGAAACUCAAAGGAAUUGAGGGGGGCCCGCACAAGGCGGAGGAACAUGUGGUUUAAUUCGAUGAUACGCGAGGAAACC